UACGUAGGGUGCAAGCGUUAAUCGGAAUUACUGGGCGUAAAGCGUGCGCAGGCGGUGAUGUAAGACAGAUGUGAAAUCCCCGGGCUCAACCUGGGAACUGCAUUUGUGACUGCAUCGCUGGAGUGCGGCAGAGGGGGAUGGAAUUCCGCGUGUAGCAGUGAAAUGCGUAGAUAUGCGGAGGAACACCGAUGGCGAAGGCAAUCCCCUGGGCCUGUACUGACGCUCACGCACGAAAGCGUGGGGAGCAAACAGG
Molecule: ribosomal RNA, 253 nt
Filed under: uncultured bacterium
Lineage: Bacteria
Description: partial 16S ribosomal RNA
Rfam family: Bacterial small subunit ribosomal RNA
Source: RNAcentral